Molecule: ribosomal RNA, 105 nt
Filed under: uncultured bacterium
Lineage: Bacteria
Description: partial 16S ribosomal RNA
Rfam family: Bacterial small subunit ribosomal RNA
Source: RNAcentral
CUUGUACACACCGCCCGUCACACCAUGGGAGUGGGUUUCACCAGAAAGUAGGUAGUCUAACCGCAAGGGGGGACGCUUACCACGGUGAGACUCAUGACUGGGGUG